Molecule: microRNA, 23 nt
Filed under: Octopus vulgaris (common octopus)
Lineage: Eukaryota; Metazoa; Mollusca; Cephalopoda; Octopoda; Octopodidae
Also listed under: 1 other name
Description: Ovu-Mir-12572_5p (mature (co-guide))
Source: RNAcentral
UCUCAUGUGUACAUUGAGACGUU